Aphis gossypii (cotton aphid) is the source of this 289-nucleotide long non-coding RNA. RefSeq lists it as uncharacterized. The record is from RefSeq and is a predicted model, not a curated record. NCBI's taxonomy places the organism in Eukaryota, Metazoa, Arthropoda, Insecta, Hemiptera, Aphididae. The transcript has 3 exons.
CCGUUAAAUGUUUUAAAUCAAAUUCACUUUACAAGUAAUGAAGUAAGUUUUUGAACGUCUACAAUUCGAUGGUCUAGUGCACAAAUACGUAUGACAAACAAAAGAUUGUCGUCCUCUGUUCAAUAUUCAUAGACAAGAGACGAAUUUCACAUUCCUGAAAAUCUACAUGAAACGAUUGGGCAAUUAUCAAAAUAUCAAAAAUGCAUUAUUCCAGAGACGACCGCCCCAUACGAGUUACGGCGACGGAAAGAACACCCAGACACCCAAUAGCAACCAAGUUUACUUUGCG